AUGGAUCCAACACUAGAAUUCCUGUGUGACUCUUCUCUUGACACAAUUGAAAAAGCAACUUUGACAGUAGGUAAUGGCUCUCUGGUUAACAGAUUAGUUCUUACAGGCUGAUAGACAUCAUCUAAGCCCAUAAGAAACUGCAUUAGUUUGAUUAAGGUAGAAAAAUCAUUGAAAUCUUUAGCAGCUUGACAUGAACAAGUAGGCAGUUGAAGCACAGCAUCAAACUGCUUCCACAUUGUAUUCAACUUAUGAUAAUAUUCAGAAACAGAACUCCCAUUUUGAGUAAUACAAUUAAUUUUUUUAUAUAAGUCAUACACUAUAGAGCCAUCAACCUUGUCAUAAGUUUCUUUUAGAUCAAUCCAGACUUCUGAGGCUAACUUAGAGAACACUUGCCCUAAGUAUAGUUCCUCAGAAACAGAGUUUAACAACCAACUUAAAACAACUGAAUUACACCUGUCCCACUGGCUACUUAGAACUUCAUCAUCAGUAUUCUUUUUACAUUUACCAUCUAUAAAUCCAAAUUUAUUUUUGGCUUCAAGAGCCAAUUUCAUAGCACUAGACCACACCCUAUAAUUUUUAGUUCCCUUUAGUUUUAUACCAACUAUAGUUAAGGAGCUAGAAUCACUAGGAUGCAA
RNAcentral lists this long non-coding RNA (635 nucleotides) under Helianthus annuus (common sunflower). RNAcentral describes it as "sRNA HanXRQr2_Chr05g0194331". The record is from RNAcentral. Lineage: Eukaryota; Viridiplantae; Streptophyta; Magnoliopsida; Asterales; Asteraceae.